AAAAUACCGCUCAUUAUCAUUAACCCUCCCCCACUAUUGGAUGACUCCAUAACUUAUGGAAGACAUUAUGCUUAAAUCAGUAACAAGAAUUUGAAAUUCUCCUAAUGUAAGUAUCAGCCGUAACGGACCCACCAACGGCAAUUAACGUCAAUAAACCUAGUUCAACAACACUCGAGAAAAACCUGCACAACCUAACGUUAACCUUACACAAGAACAUUUUAGGAAAGAUUAAAAGGGAGAGAAGGAACUCGGCAAAUAACAACCCCGCCUGUUUACCAAAAACAUCGCCUCUUGCUAGAAUAUAAGAGGUCUAGCCUGCCCAGUGAUCUUUAAACGGCCGCGGAACCCUAACCGUGCUAAGGUAGCACAAUUACUUGUCCUUUAAAUGGGGACCAGAAUGAAUGACAUCACGAGGGUUGUACUGUCUCCUCCCCCCAAUCAGUGAAAUUGACCUCCCUGUGAAAAGGCAGGAAUAAGAAUAUUAGACGAGAAGACCCCAUGGAGCUUUAGACACCGAACAAAUCCUGACCUACACUCCCCCUAGUCUAAAAUAUGUGUUUCCAAGUCUUCGGUUGGGGCGACCAUGGAGUAUAAAUUAACCUCCACGCCGAAUGGAUAAUUCCUUAUCUAAGGGUCACCACCCUAAGAAACAGAAUACUGACGCUCACUGAUCCGGAACCCGAUCAACGAACCAAGUUACCCUGGGGAUAACAGCGCCAUCCAUCUUGAGAGUUCAUAUCGACAGGUGGGUUUACGACCUCGAUGUUGGAUCAGGGUACCCUAGUGGUGCAGCCGCUACAUAAGGUUCGUUUGU
RNAcentral lists this ribosomal RNA (814 nucleotides) under Cornufer desticans. Its description in RNAcentral is "partial 16S ribosomal RNA". It matches the Rfam family "Bacterial large subunit ribosomal RNA", at positions 1502 to 2580 of the family's 2925-position model. Lineage: Eukaryota; Metazoa; Chordata; Amphibia; Anura; Ceratobatrachidae. The record is from RNAcentral.